GUAGGUGGCAAGCGUUGUCCGGAAUUAUUGGGCGUAAAGCGCGCGCAGGCGGUCCUUUAAGUCUGAUGUGAAAGCCCACGGCUCAACCGUGGAGGGUCAUUGGAAACUGGGGGACUUGAGUACAGAAGAGGAAAGCGGAAUUCCAAGUGUAGCGGUGAAAUGCGUAGAGAUUUGGAGGAACACCAGUGGCGAAGGCGGCUUUCUGGUCUGUAACUGACGCUGAGGCGCGAAAGCGUGGGGAGCAAACAGGGAUUAGAUACCCUGGUAGUCCACGCCGUAAACGAUGAGUGCUAAGUGUUAGGGGGUUUCCCGCCCCUUAGUGCUGCAGCUAACGCAUUAAGCACGUCCGCCUGGGGAGUACGGCCGCAAGGCUG
Molecule: ribosomal RNA, 374 nt
Filed under: uncultured organism
Description: partial 16S ribosomal RNA
Rfam family: Bacterial small subunit ribosomal RNA
Source: RNAcentral